GCCUGGGUGGCUCAGUCGAUUAAACAUCUGACUUUGGCUCAGAUCAUGAUCUUGUGGUCUGUGAGUUCGAAUCCCACGUCAGGCU
This is a non-coding RNA of Felis catus (domestic cat), 85 nucleotides long. NCBI's taxonomy places the organism in Eukaryota, Metazoa, Chordata, Mammalia, Carnivora, Felidae. The record is from Rfam.